This 492-nucleotide ribosomal RNA is filed under the name uncultured bacterium. Its description in RNAcentral is "partial 16S ribosomal RNA". It matches the Rfam family "Bacterial small subunit ribosomal RNA", at positions 29 to 507 of the family's 1533-position model. The record is from RNAcentral.
AUUGAACGCUGGCGGCAUGCUUUACACAUGCAAGUCGAACGGUAACAGGCCGUCGGGUGCUGACGAGUGGCGAACGGGUGAGUAAUGCACCGGAACGUACCCAGUGGUGGGGGGUAACGCAGCGAAAGCUGUGCUAAUACCUCAUGUGAUCUGAGGAUGAACGCGGGGGACCGAGCAGCAAUGUUUGGCCUCGCGCCUUUGUAGCGGCCGAUGUCGGCUUAGCUAGUUGGUGGGGUAAAGGCCUACCAAGGCGACGAUCCGUAGCUGGUCUGAGAGGACGACCAGCCACACUGGGACUGAGACACGGCCCAGACUCCUACGGUAGGCAGCAGUGGGGAAUUUUGGGCAAUGGGCGCAAGCCGGAUCCAGCAAUGCCGCGUGCGGGAAGAAGGCCUUCGGGUUGUAAACUGCUUUUGGCAGGAACGAAACGGUGUCCGCUAAUACCGGGCGCUAAUGACGGUACCGGCAGAAUAAGCACCGGCUAACUACGUG